RNAcentral lists this unclassified non-coding RNA (305 nucleotides) under plant metagenome. RNAcentral describes it as "partial contains 5.8S ribosomal RNA, internal transcribed spacer 2, and large subunit ribosomal RNA". The stretch from base 1 to 105 matches the Rfam family "5.8S ribosomal RNA", at positions 50 to 154 of the family's 154-position model. The record is from RNAcentral.
GAAAUGCGAUAAGUAAUGUGAAUUGCAGAAUUCAGUGAAUCAUCGAAUCUUUGAACGCACAUUGCGCCCGCCAGUAUUCUGGCGGGCAUGCCUGUUCGAGCGUCAUUUCAACCAUCAAGCCCCCGGCCUGUGUUGGGGACCUGUGGCUGCCCGCAGGCCCUGAAAAACAGUGGCGGGCUCGCUGUCACACCGAGCGUAAUAGCAUACAUUCUCGCUCAGGGCGUGCUGCGGGUUCCGGCCGUUAAACGACCUUCAUAACCCAAGGUUGACCUCGGAUCAGGUAGGAAGACCCGCUGAACUUAAGC